UUAAGUUCAGCGGGUAUCCCUACCUGAUCCGAGGUCAAAGUGAUAAUAGAGCUUGCUGGAAGGAGGCACGCUGGAGUCGCGACGCAAUGUGCUGCGCACGAAGCCAACUUACCGGCUGCCAAUGAAUUUGAGGCGAGUCCACGCGCGGAGGCGGAACAAACGCCCAACACCAAGCAGAGCUUGAAGGGUUAAAUGACGCU
RNAcentral lists this unclassified non-coding RNA (200 nucleotides) under Pleomassariaceae sp. RNAcentral describes it as "partial internal transcribed spacer 2". The record is from RNAcentral. Lineage: Eukaryota; Fungi; Ascomycota; Dothideomycetes; Pleosporales; Pleomassariaceae.